CAAGCAAGAGGCUCCUGGGAGCAGCUCCAAGGCAGAGGCAAAUGCCAAAAGUCUAGAGAUAUGCCUGAGAUGUGAAGAUUUAACAAAGAACAAGGGAAGAAGCUAAAAGAAUUCAGAUGAAGAUGGAAGUAAAACAAGAAACUCUCCCUUUCUCCACUAGACCCUUUCUGAAGAAUGCAAGGGACCUACUUUUCUUGGUAAUUUGUGUAAAUACAGGGAACAACAGCAGUAAAAUGUCAGGCUAUUUGAAUAUGGGGGAAAAAACAGGGAUACUAUCUAUUUAAUAUUGAUUCUGUGUGGGAAAAUCCAGCAUCAGUUCUUUUCCCAUUUAAGCCUCCUUAAUGUUUUGUAUCUAUUGUUUCCUGUCUAUAAAGCUAGGGUCCUCAAUGAGCCUUGAAGUCUGUAUAGAUUUUCCUGCUGGCUCCUAAACUGAAUAUAAGUACAAUAUUCCCAGGCUUAUCCAGCUCUGACUCAGAUCCCAUUUGUAAUCCACAGAUGAGCAC
This is a long non-coding RNA of Mauremys reevesii (Reeves's turtle), 503 nucleotides long. RefSeq lists it as uncharacterized. The transcript is spliced from 3 exons. The record is from RefSeq and is a predicted model, not a curated record. Lineage: Eukaryota; Metazoa; Chordata; Testudines; Geoemydidae.